UAACACGUGGGUAACCUGCCCCGAUUACCGGGACAACUCGAGGAAACUCGAGCUAAUACCGGAUGUGCCCUCCCCACAUCAGUGGGGUGUGUAAAGGAAGCUUCGGCCUCCGAAUCGGGAUGGGCCCGCGGCCCAUUAGCUAGUUGGUGAGGUAACGGCUCACCAAGGCAUCGAUGGGUAGCUGGUCUGAGAGGACGAUCAGCCACACUGGGACUGAGACACGGCCCAG
This 229-nucleotide ribosomal RNA is filed under the name uncultured bacterium. RNAcentral's name for it is "partial 16S ribosomal RNA". It matches the Rfam family "Bacterial small subunit ribosomal RNA", at positions 111 to 334 of the family's 1533-position model. The record is from RNAcentral.